GUUCUUUUAGUAUUAACCAGUACGGUUGACUUCCAAUCAACUAGCUUCGGUGACAACCCGAAAAAGAACA
RNAcentral lists this transfer RNA (70 nucleotides) under Rhinophylla pumilio. Its description in RNAcentral is "transfer RNA-Gly". The record is from RNAcentral. Lineage: Eukaryota; Metazoa; Chordata; Mammalia; Chiroptera; Phyllostomidae.